Molecule: long non-coding RNA, 2092 nt
Filed under: Ananas comosus (pineapple)
Lineage: Eukaryota; Viridiplantae; Streptophyta; Magnoliopsida; Poales; Bromeliaceae
Description: long non-coding RNA (ACOM_LNC000368)
Source: RNAcentral
GAAACUAAAUUUCAAAUUUAGGACCUUAAUUAUUAAUAAUCAAGCUCUUAGCCAGUUACUUACGUAUGGUAAAUUAUUGGACAGGCUCAUGGAUGAUGCGAAGCUUUGAAUUUAUAUUUUUUUUAUCAUAAAAUAAAUCAUACCAUAAAACUACAACAAAUUCAUGAUUUAUCGACAUUUACUCCACAAUAUUUAUUUAAAUCAUGCUAAUUAAUAUAUUUAACAGCAUUACUUGAUAAUUGUCGCUAGAUUUAAUUAUUUAGCAGCAAUUUAUUAAUAAUGUUGCAAAAUAGGAUAAAUUAGCAAUACAAAUUAGUGAAUGCUGCUAAAAUUUCUAACAUUUUAUAAAAAAAUGACACUAAAUGUAAUAAAGUAGCAACACUUAUUACUAAAUGCCACAACAUUUACUUCGCAAUAUUUAUUUAAAUUAUGUAAUUAAAAUAUUUAACAACACUACUUGAUAAUUGCCGCUAGAUUUAAUAAUUUAGCAGCAAUUUAUUAUUAAUGUUGAAAAAUAGGAUAGAUUAGCAAUGCAAAUUAGUGAACACCGCUAAUAAAUGUAAUAAGAAGCGACACUUAUUGCUAAAUAUCGUCACUAAUCAAUAUAUAAUUAUUAAUAUAUCCCUUUUUACUUAAAAUUAAAAUUUUGAAAUUAAAGUUUAAAAAUUCAAAACUUAUAAUUUUAAAAAUUAAACUUAUAAUUUAAAAUUUAAAAUUUUAAAAUAUAUAUUAAAUUUCAAAUUCUAUAAUUUUAAUUUAAAAUUUAAAAUUUUUUAAAUUUUUAAUUUUUAAAUUUUUUAAUUUAAAAUUUCAAAUUUAAAACUGAAAAUUUUGAAGCUUAAAAUUUGAUAUUUGAAAAUUAAAAAUUUAAAUUUAGUAUCUAAAUUUUAAAAAUUUAAAUUUUAAAAUUUUAAAAUUGAAAAUUUAAAAUUUUAAAAAUUCAAAUAUAUAUAACUGAUAAAAGAUUCAAAUAUAUAUAAUUGGUAGUUCCUAGCGCAAGUGGCAAAGAAUUUGGUGGUUCGUAGCUGAGGUCUCAAGUUUAAAUCCUAAUUGAUUUACAUUUCCAGCAGCUAAGUUUAUUUAUAAAAAAAAUAAAUGAAGCGAGUAGCAUGCAUGCUACCUUUAAAAUUUCAGUCCCUAAAAUCAGAUUUUUGUAUUAGUAGCAUUAUAUUUAUGUGUUACUAAUAAGCAACUUAAAAUUAACAUUUAAUCCCUUUUAUUUGCAUGUUCCUAAUGACACUAAUUGAUUUAUAUUAGCAUCAUUUAGCAACAUAAAUAAAUGUCACUAAUGACUAAUUUUCUAAUAGUUACCCUAUAUUUUAUCGUAUAAAAAUAAAAUUAGAGUGACCGAAAGAUAAAAAAAGAGAGAUGCUAGCUAGCUAGCUACAAUACUUGAACACCUUUCUCUCCCCGUAUACUCGUUAAUGUGGUUGAUUUACAAUAAGUAUUCUCACUCGGAUAUAGAAAUUUUAAUUCUUAGUUAAUUCUCCGUAGCACUCAUUUCUCGCCUUUAUCUCAAGAAGCAUUGUUCUAGAGAAUGCACUUACUCCUUACGAAAUUAUACAACGUAAUUUUAUUAUAACCUAAAAUAAAAAAUUUAUACUUCUUUUUAACCAAUUAGAAAUUUUAAAUAUAGAAAUAUAAUAUUAUUUUAUAAUAAAUUAAAAUUUUUUAAAAUAAAAUUAGUGAUGUUAGAUUAAGAAAUACUAAAUAUAAUCUCAUUCUUAAGAUAUCAGCCGCGCACCCUGCUUGCAUAAGCCAUCUAAUCCAUUUGUUAUUUUUCUUUUUAUUUUUUUAAUAUUUUUCUUGAAACUAUCCCUUUAACAUAAUUAAAUAAUUUUUAUAAAAUUUUUUUUUUCCAACAACAAAAUAUUUCUGUUACCCCUGAAUUUUUUGUGGAGUUUCAUUUUACCAUCCAAACAUAUAAAAUGGAUAUCUAAUAUAUAUCCUAAACUCUAAUAUUUUAUUCAUGUUAUCCCUUCCGUCAGUAUUCGAUUAACGGAUCUUGAUGGAAAAGGUAACAUGAAUAAAAUAUUAGAGUUUAGAAUGUUAGUGGCUAUUUUAGAACUUUGGAGUGUAAAGUAAAACUCUG